This 301-nucleotide ribosomal RNA is filed under the name uncultured bacterium. Its description in RNAcentral is "partial 16S ribosomal RNA". It matches the Rfam family "Bacterial small subunit ribosomal RNA", at positions 509 to 809 of the family's 1533-position model. The record is from RNAcentral.
CAGCCGCCGCGGGAAAACGUAGGGUGCAAGCGUUAAUCGGAAUUACUGGGCGUAAAGCGUGCGCAGGCGGUUAUAUAAGACAGAUGUGAAAUCCCCGGGCUCAACCUGGGAACUGCAUUUGUGACUGUAUAGCUAGAGUACGGCAGAGGGGGAUGGAAUUCCGCGUGUAGCAGUGAAAUGCGUAGAUAUGCGGAGGAACACCGAUGGCGAAGGCAAUCCCCUGGGCCUGUACUGACGCUCAUGCACGAAAGCGUGGGGAGCAAACAGGAUUAGAUACCCCAGUAGUCCCUGUCUCUUAUAA